GACGAACGCUGGCGGCGUGCUUAAUACAUGCAAGUCGAACGGAAAGGCCCUGCUUUUGCGGGGUGCUCGAGUGGCGAACGGGUGUGUAACACGUGAGUAACCUGCCCCUGACUUUGGGAUAACUUCAGGAAACUGGGGCGAAUACCGGAUAGGAGCUCCUGCUGCAUGGUGGGGGUUGGUAAGUGUCGGCGGUUGGGGAUGGUCUCGCGGCUUAUCAGCUUGUUGGGGGGGUAGUGGCUUACCAAGGCUUUGACGGGUAGCCUGCCUGAGAGGGUGACCGGCGACCUUGGGCCUGAGAUACGGCCCAGACUCCUACGGGAGGCAGCAGUGGGGAAUAUUGCACAAUGGGCGGACGCCUGAUGCAGCAACGCCGCGUGCGGGAUGACGGCCUUCGGGUUGUAAACCGCUUUCGCCUGUGACGAAGCGUGAGUGACGGUAAUGGGUAAAGAAGCACCGGCUAACUACGUG
This 468-nucleotide ribosomal RNA is filed under the name uncultured bacterium. RNAcentral describes it as "partial 16S ribosomal RNA". It matches the Rfam family "Bacterial small subunit ribosomal RNA", at positions 28 to 507 of the family's 1533-position model. The record is from RNAcentral.